AAGAGAGGGACCUUACGACUGCAAAUGGAAUAAAAGGUACAAGGCUGGCUUCCUUUGCUUUCACUUGUGCCCAUGAAAGAAGCAAGAUUUCUGUCUUGGGUAUGCACUACAUUUCCACCAGAAUGAAGCAGCUCAUGAUGAUAUUUAAUGAAGGUUUGGUGAAAGAGUGCAACAAAGGAGAUGAGACCUGUUUAAAGGCAGACCAGAUGAGGAUCUUCUGAGUGUCUCGUGGGAAAGGAUCCUGAAGAUCAGCACUGUAUAUAUAUAUGGAAGUGCAUUUUUUGAAGGCCAGAAGGAAAUAUAGACAGCACCUAACCUGACCUCCAGCAUAACACUGGACAUAGAAACCUACCCUACAAACUCUGUGCUGCUCCUUCAGCUAGAGACAUGAAGAAACAUCCAUCCUUCCCUUCAUUUUCUGCAGUAAGCAUCUACC
This 436-nucleotide long non-coding RNA is filed under the name Gallus gallus (chicken). RNAcentral's name for it is "long non-coding RNA NONGGAT005510". The record is from RNAcentral. Lineage: Eukaryota; Metazoa; Chordata; Aves; Galliformes; Phasianidae.